ACUAUACUGAGCUCUUUAGGAUGAUG
RNAcentral lists this non-coding RNA (26 nucleotides) under Cricetulus griseus (Chinese hamster). Lineage: Eukaryota; Metazoa; Chordata; Mammalia; Rodentia; Cricetidae. The record is from RNAcentral.